GUACACGCUGUGACUAGCAUAUCAAUAAGCGGAGGAAAAGAAACUAACAAGGAUUCCCCUAGUAACGGCGAGUGAAGCGGGAAGAGCUCAAAUUUGAAAUCUUAAAGGGUUUCCCUUUACGAAUUGUAGUUUAAAGAAGUGUUUUCUGUUGAGGUUUUGGUAAAAGUUCUUUGGAAUAGGACAUCAUAGAGGGUGAGAAUCCCGUAUUUGACCUUUACUUUCAACUUUGUGAUACACUUUCAAAGAGUCGGAUUGUUUGGGAAGGCAGUCCAAAAUGGGUGGUAAAUUUCAUCUAAAGCUAAAUAUUGGCGAGAGACCGAUAGCGAACAAGUACCGUGAGGGAAAGAUGAAAAGAACUUUGAAAAGAGAGUUAAACAGUACGUGAAAUUGUCAAAAGGGAAGCGUUUGACACCAGUGUUGUUUUUCUGAAAAUCAAUUAAAGAACUGUUUAUGCUAAGUUGUUUAGACUUUAUCAGCUAACUGUUUAGUUUUGAGCUUUUCUUUAAUGCACUUUUCAGUUAACAAGUCAACAUCAAUUUCUUUUGCUGUAAAAAAGCUUGAGGAAGGUGGCUUGAGAUUCGUCUUAAGUGUUUAUAGCCUCUUGCCUAUGCAGUCGGAAAGAUUGAGGUCUGCAGCGUAGAUCCUUCGGGGCUAAAUGCAUUUGUGCUAAGUUAUAGCAUUUUAUAGACAACUUGUUGACUAUGAUUUGUCUUGUAGCUUACUCGCUUAUGUUAUUUUACCUACGCUUAGGAUGUUGACAGCAGUAUAGACUGU
This 774-nucleotide ribosomal RNA is filed under the name uncultured Neocallimastigales. Its description in RNAcentral is "partial large subunit ribosomal RNA". It matches the Rfam family "Eukaryotic large subunit ribosomal RNA", at positions 22 to 637 of the family's 3401-position model. Lineage: Eukaryota; Fungi; Neocallimastigomycota; Neocallimastigomycetes; Neocallimastigales. The record is from RNAcentral.